GAUGAAGAACGCAGCGAAAUGCGAUAAGUAAUGUGAAUUGCAGAAUUCCGUGAACCAUCGAAUCUUUGAACGCACAUUGCGCCCCCUGGUAUUCCGGGGGGCAUGCCUGUCCGAGCGUCAUUGCAACCUUCAAGCGCGGCUUGUGUGUUGGGUCUCGUCCCCCGUGGACGGGCCCGAAAGGCAGUGGCGGCGUCCCGACAUGGUGCCCGAGCGUAUGGGAAUCCUCUUCCGCUCGAAUCGGCCCAUGCGGCGCUGGUCGUAACCAAAUUUUUUACCGGUUGACCUCGGAUCAGGUAGGGAUACCCGCUGAACUUAAGCAUAUCAAUAAGCGGAGGA
This 336-nucleotide unclassified non-coding RNA is filed under the name soil metagenome. RNAcentral describes it as "partial contains 5.8S ribosomal RNA, internal transcribed spacer 2, and large subunit ribosomal RNA". The stretch from base 1 to 120 matches the Rfam family "5.8S ribosomal RNA", at positions 35 to 154 of the family's 154-position model. The record is from RNAcentral.